This 102-nucleotide microRNA precursor is filed under the name Marmota monax (woodchuck). The record is from RNAcentral. Lineage: Eukaryota; Metazoa; Chordata; Mammalia; Rodentia; Sciuridae.
AGUGAGAUAGUUGGUCAAAUGGUGGUUUCAUUCCAAGAUUUUUGAGCAAUCUCCAUACUGCUUUUCAGAGUGGUUGUACCAGUUUGCAGCCCCACCAGCAAU